This 496-nucleotide ribosomal RNA is filed under the name uncultured bacterium. RNAcentral describes it as "partial 16S ribosomal RNA". It matches the Rfam family "Bacterial small subunit ribosomal RNA", at positions 29 to 507 of the family's 1533-position model. The record is from RNAcentral.
ACGAACGCUGGCGGCGUGCCUAAUACAUGCCAGUUGAGCGCUGAAGGUUGGUACUUGUACCCACUGGAUGAGCAGCGAACGGGUGAGUAACGCGUGGGGAAUCUGCCUUUGAGCGGGGGACAACAUUUGGGAACGAAUGCUAAUACCGCAUAAAAACUUUAAACACAAGUUUUAAGUUUGAAAGAUGCAAUUGCAUCACUCAAAGAUGAUCCCGCGUUGUAUUAGCUAGUUGGUGAGGUAAAGGCUCACCAAGGCGAUGAUACAUAGCCGACCUGAGAGGGUGAUCGGCCACAUUGGGACUGAGACACGGCCCAAACUCCUACGGGAGGCAGCAGUAGGGAAUCUUCGGCAAUGGACGAAAGUCUGACCGAGCAACGCCGCGUGAGUGAAGAAGGGUUUCGGAUCGUAAAACUCUGUUGGUAGAGAAGAACGUUGGUGAGAGUGGAAAGCUCAUCAAGUGACGGUAACUACCCAGAAAGGGACGGCUAACUACGUG